This is a long non-coding RNA of Styela clava, 2036 nucleotides long. RefSeq lists it as uncharacterized. The record is from RefSeq and is a predicted model, not a curated record. Lineage: Eukaryota; Metazoa; Chordata; Ascidiacea; Stolidobranchia; Styelidae.
GACAAAGAAUGACAAAGCAAAAUAUUUUCACGCAGUUAGUAACAUCAGCUAACUGUAUGUUCAACUUUUAGUGGCAGUGUGCGGAGGAGACAGACGGUAACGUUAAUUCGGUACAAAGUUGUUCGCAAAACCGUUGCAAGCUAUGGGAAAUCCGAUCAAAUUAGCUGUGGAGUACUGUGGUAGCUGAGGUUACUAUGGACGCUUCAGAGAACUUCAGGCCAAAAUACAGAAUAAAUAUCCGGAAGUAGAAGUAUCCGGAUAUCAAGGUCGCCGCAGUUCUUUCGAAGUGUCCAUAAACGGAACUCUUGUUUUUUCUAAACUGAAGCAAGGUGGAUUCAUAUGAAAAAGACAUCAUGCAAGCCAUUGCAAAAGCUCAAGAAGGGCAAUAUAUUGAACCUGUUACAAAAAGCAAAUCUUCUUGUCUCGUCAUGUAAAGAAUUCCAUUAGUUGCAUCAUUCAAUUGAAGUUUUCCCCAUAUAGGCUACUACCCGGUCAUAUAUUCUUGUGCCUAGAUUUUCUAGCCCGAUUGUAGAUCUACUACUUUGCUACGCGAACUGUUGUGGUGAUUAAUAGUGUAAUUUUUCACAUAUGAUGACAUUUUCGUUAGAAAUCAGCGUAUCCUGACUAACAAAGAUUGACGCGGUACAACGCUAUGUGAUUUAUUAUACUACUGACUAUUCAUACAUCUGCUAUAUAUAUGUCUAUAUCGUAUAUCUGCUUGGAUUCUUGUAUAAUAUAUAUAACACAUUUAGCGCAAUAAAACUUUUUUGAUAUUGCCAUCUACUUUCGUACGAAUUAAGGGUCGUAGGAUGAAACGGUUUCUGCAAUAUAAAUAAUUAGUCGUGAAAUUCGAGAAAUGUAUAAAACAUGAGAAAUUUACAUUUUAUUGAAGAAAAUGUAUAAAUAGUUCAACGCUCAGUCAGUGCUGGACAGGGAAAAAGUUAACAAGUUAUUCGUUCCAGGCGGGGGAAGUUGUAGCGGGCCAUUUACCUGGACCUCCCUACGACGCGUAUAGCAAACAAUCCUCUCAUACAUUGAUAUAUAUUGAACACAAAUGGUACAUAUGUAUCGUUUUGGUAAAUUUGUUUUUAUCAUUCUUGAUGUUGUUGGGAUUUAUCUUGUUGCUAUUGCUUGUUGAGUAAAAUAUUGCUUUCUCCGCAACUACCAGUUUAUCCAAAUUCUCGGUGUUUAAAGAUGGAAGACGAUGCUAGAAGGCCAUUACUUUUGUUUUUAUUUAAAUUUUCUCUUAUGAGACUCGAUAUGAAUGAUAUUCUAUGUUUCACCAAAAUGUUGCUGUUUUAUUCUAACAUUCCGAAGUGCACGACCGCUUUUGUAUUGCUCCAUAUCUUUUAGCAAAAUCGGUGCUUUGAGGCCUCCGCCGUGCAGUUCCGGUACCCGGUCGUCGGAUUAUAAACUGGAACCCACCAUGAUUGCAGUGUGUUUUGUUUCACAAGUUAAACGCCCACACUAUUGUUGUCGUUUUUUAUUAGUUUUUUGAAUUGCUUUAAAAGUAUUGCCAGAGUUCUAAUUGUGUUGACCUUUUGUGUGCUUGCAUUAUUUGCGGGCGCGUACUUAUUUAUGUUUUCAGCCUUUUUUCUAAGUUAUGCUCGCCUUCCAGGUACCUUUGGUUCAACAUAACCGCUGGUCGGUUACGGCCUCAUCCUCCAUCAAGUUUAUGCAUCUGAAAUGAAUAACUGGCUAACUAAUCCCAUACCUGACAUGGACUGUUACCCGGACGAGAGGUCGUGGUUCGCCAUAUGAUCAAGCCGUCUUAGCGGCUUUUUUCUUACCCGGAAUAAAUAUGUAAAUCCUUCUAUCCUGAGUGUGUUGAAUGAGUGAAUGGCAAAUAUAAUUCCUCAUGUUUUAAACUUUAUUGGCGGUUUUGUCGAUUUUACCGACUUUCCAAUCUUGCAUGUGUUUCAAUCUUAUAUUUGGUGUAUGUUUUCGCGGGAAUAUAAAUUCGAGUUUUGCUAUAUACUAUUCGUUUAAAUGUACAAUGUUUUUGCACGACGGAAAAUAAAUAUCUGAAUCAUUGU